AAUAAGAUUAUUUUUCAGUUUUUCUAUAUAAUAUUUUUACUCUUCAUUUUAUUUGAAUUUUUUUUGCGAUUAAUAAUUUUAUUCUUACUAGAUGAUAAAACAUGAAUAGUACUUUAUACGUGACUAAUGUUUUAAAAGUUUUUGUGCAAAUUUUUUAAAUAAGACGAAUGAUCAAAUGUUGAACACGAAAAA
Molecule: microRNA precursor, 192 nt
Filed under: Oryza brachyantha (malo sina)
Lineage: Eukaryota; Viridiplantae; Streptophyta; Magnoliopsida; Poales; Poaceae
Description: MIR812 microRNA precursor family
Rfam family: MIR812 microRNA precursor family
Source: Rfam by way of RNAcentral